GACGAACGCUGGCGGCGUGCUUAACACAUGCAAGUCGAACGGAAAGGCCCUGCUUUUGUGGGGUGCUCGAGUGGCGAACGGGUGAGUAACACGUGAGUAACCUGCCCUUGACUUUGGGAUAACUUCAGGAAACUGGGGCUAAUACCGGAUAGGAGCUCCUGCUGCAUGGUGGGGGUUGGAUAGUUUCGGCGGUUGGGGAUGGACUCGCGGCUUAUCAGCUUGUUGGUGGGGUAGUGGCUUACCAAGGCUUUGACGGGUAGCCGGCCUGAGAGGGUGACCGGCUACAGUGGGACUGAGAUACGGCCGAGACUCCUACGGGAGGCAGCAGUGGGGAAUAUUGCACAAUGGGCGGAAGCCUGAUGCAGCAACGCCGCGUGCGGGAUGACGGCCUUCGGGUUGUAAACUGCUUUCGCGUGUGACGAAGCGUGAGUGACGGUAAUGGGUAAAGAAGCACCGGCUAACUACGU
This 467-nucleotide ribosomal RNA is filed under the name uncultured bacterium. Its description in RNAcentral is "partial 16S ribosomal RNA". It matches the Rfam family "Bacterial small subunit ribosomal RNA", at positions 28 to 506 of the family's 1533-position model. The record is from RNAcentral.